GAUGAAGAACGUAGCGAAAUGCGAUAAUUAAUGUGAAUUGCAGAAUUCAGUGAAUCAUCGAAUCUUUGAACGCACAUUGCGCCCCUUGGUAUUCCGAGGGGCAUGCCUGUUCGAGCGUCAUUAUAACCCUCAAGCUCAGCUUGGUGUUGGGGCCUGCUGCACUGGCAGCCCUUAAAAUCAGUGGCGGCGCCAUCUGGCUCUAAGCGUAGUAAUUCUUCUCGCUAUGGAGUCCUGGUGGAUGCUUGCCAUCAACCCCCAAUUUUUCUAUGGUUGACCUCGGAUCAGGUAGGGAUACCCGCUGAACUUAAGCAUAUCAAUAAGCGGAGGA
Molecule: unclassified non-coding RNA, 328 nt
Filed under: soil metagenome
Description: partial contains 5.8S ribosomal RNA, internal transcribed spacer 2, and large subunit ribosomal RNA
Rfam family: 5.8S ribosomal RNA (bases 1-120)
Source: RNAcentral